GUGAGCCUGUGCCUUAAUACCUGGGCACAGUGGACCCGAGGGAAAUUUGUCUCUGGAACAUCCCGGCUGAGCCUAAGAUCUAUACUGGCUGGGAACAGGAUGAUAAGUGGAGUUCCCUUUACCACAGGGCAAGGAAGUCUUCAGGGCUGUCCACAGUGAGCCUCUCUGCUAUCCCACAAGGGGGUCCUGUGCCAUAAGCAGUGGAUAGAGAAGAAGGCGUGAGAAAUGGGAGGCGCGUGCCUGACUCGCAGCCCAGACUCCUCCCCGCAGCUCUCGGCUCCGUACUUCUGUCUGAGUUAGUACAAAAGCCCUGCCCCACUCGUGGUCUCUUGCCCUGCGCUCCCAGCUCAAGAGCGCCAUGCGCCCAGCACGUCUUCCUCACUCCGGGGAUCAGCUCACGGAGUUUUAAAACCUACCGAGCUGGGUCGCCACAAAAUCCCGCAGCGCCACAACUUGGGGAAACGGUGACGGAGAUGUGGCCACACCGACCAUCUAAAGCGACCCCCAACUCCGAUGAAGCCUGGCUGGAAAGACGCGGCUUCCAUCCUGGGAGCCUGGAGGAGAAUCGAGCAGUGGCUAUUGCCUGGGCUUGCCUGGGCUUGUUCAGACAGGACUGCUCCCCUCGGUGACUGCACAGAUUGGGGGCUUUGGGAGACGUUGCCAGAAUCUGGAAGCCAAGGCCGGGGGCUACAGGGGCCCGGGGUCUGCGCACCUGCUCGCCGCGGAGCUCAGGAGUGCGUCCAGACAAACAACUUGACGGAGGAAAGCAAGAGAAAUGUAUUCGCUCGCAGUUCUGCAAGCCAAAAGUUUGAAACACAGCAGCGUCCACCCGUCUGUUGUCUCUGUGAAGGGAUCCCGCCCCAGCUUCCGAAGUCUGCCUGGGUUCGUAGAUGCAUUCCCUCCCAACCUAUGCCGUGUGCCUGCCUCACAUCUGCCUCAAUCUGCCUGUUUGCUGGGAUGCUUGUUGCUGGAUAGACUUCCACUGGUCCAGGAUGGCCAUCUCAGGAGAGCUUUAAAGAUUCACCUAUACAGGCCCCAGGGUCUUUGGGGAUGAUUAUUUUUGUUGUUGGUGGUGGUGUGUCUAUUUAUCUUUUAUUUUAUGUAUGUGGGUGUUUUUAUCUGUAUGUAUGGCUGAGUACCAUGUGUGUGAAGUUGCUGUGGGAGCUAGAAGAGGGUGUCAGAUCUCCCGGGACUAAAGUCACAGGUGGUUGUGAGCUGCCAUGUGGGUGCUGGGGAUCAAACCCGGGUCCUCUGCUCUCGCAGCUGUGUGCUUAACUGUACGCCAUCUCUCUAGCCUCCUAUACUAUGCCAUCUGGAUAUGACACUUUUAUGUCUGUAUCAUUGCGUUUCUUGAUUUGUCAUCGGUGUUGGGAGGAAUAAAAGCCCCUCCCCUCCUGAUGACCUGUCCCUCGGAUCAGCCUCCUGGCUCCGAGUGCCUGGGCAGGUGGACAACUGUGAGAAAAAUCUAUGUAUUUACCCAUACUAGUUAUGGAGAACUGAGCAGAG
This 1506-nucleotide long non-coding RNA is filed under the name Rattus norvegicus (Norway rat). RNAcentral's name for it is "long non-coding RNA NONRATT033219". The record is from RNAcentral. Lineage: Eukaryota; Metazoa; Chordata; Mammalia; Rodentia; Muridae.